This is a non-coding RNA of Baffinella frigidus, 81 nucleotides long. NCBI's taxonomy places the organism in Eukaryota, Cryptophyceae, Cryptomonadales, Baffinellaceae. The record is from the annotation of a GenBank genome assembly.
GUUGACGUGGUCCAGCGGUUAGCACGUUGGUCUCCAAAAAUGAUCAGGUCGAGAUCGCGGGUUCGAUUCUGGUCGAGAACA